UACGGGGGGGGCAAGCGUUGUUCGGAAUUACUGGGCGUAAAGGGCUCGUAGGCGGCCAACUAAGUCGGACGUGAAAUCCCCAGGCUCAACCUGGGAACUGCGUCCAAUACUGGAUGGCUUGAAUCCGGGAGAGGGAUGCAGAAUUCCAGGUGUAGCGGUGAAAUGCGUAGAUAUCUGGAGGAAUACCGGUGGCGAAGGCGGCAUCCUGGACCGGCAUUGACGCUGAGGAGCGAAAGCCAGGGGAGCAAACGGG
RNAcentral lists this ribosomal RNA (253 nucleotides) under uncultured bacterium. Its description in RNAcentral is "partial 16S ribosomal RNA". It matches the Rfam family "Bacterial small subunit ribosomal RNA", at positions 524 to 776 of the family's 1533-position model. The record is from RNAcentral.